RNAcentral lists this ribosomal RNA (252 nucleotides) under uncultured bacterium. RNAcentral's name for it is "partial 16S ribosomal RNA". It matches the Rfam family "Bacterial small subunit ribosomal RNA", at positions 524 to 776 of the family's 1533-position model. The record is from RNAcentral.
UACGUAGGGUGCGAGCGUUAAUCGGAAUUACUGGGCGUAAAGCGUGCGCAGGCGGUUUUGUAAGCCAGAUGUGAAAUCCCCGGGCUCAACCUGGGAAUGGCAUUUGGGACUGCAAGGCUGGAGUGCGGCAGAGGAGACUGGAAUCCUGGUGUAGCAGUGAAAUGCGUAGAUAUCAGGAGGAAUACCGAUGGCGAAGGCAGGUCUCUGGGCUGACACUGACGCUCAUGCACGAAAGCGUGGGGAGCAAACAGG